RNAcentral lists this ribosomal RNA (484 nucleotides) under uncultured bacterium. RNAcentral's name for it is "partial 16S ribosomal RNA". It matches the Rfam family "Bacterial small subunit ribosomal RNA", at positions 28 to 507 of the family's 1533-position model. The record is from RNAcentral.
AUUGAACGCUGGCGGCAUGCUUUACACAUGCAAGUCGAACGGCAGCGCGGGCUUCGGCCUGGCGGCGAGUGGCGAACGGGUGAGUAAUGCAUCGGAACGUGCCCAGUAGUGGGGGGUAGCCCGGCGAAAGCCGGAUUAAUACCGCAUACGACCUGAGGGUGAAAGCGGGGGACCGAAAGGCCUCGCGCUAUUGGAGCGGCCGAUGUCGGAUUAGCUAGUUGGCGGGGUAAAGGCUUACCAAGGCGACGAUCCGUAGCUGGUCUGAGAGGACGACCAGCCACACUGGGACUGAGACACGGCCCAGACUCCUACGGGAGGCAGCAGUGGGGAAUUUUGGACAAUGGGGGCAACCCUGAUCCAGCCAUGCCGCGUGCGGGAAGAAGGCCUUCGGGUUGUAAACCGCUUUUGUUCGGGAAGAAAUCCUCUGGGCUAAUACCCCGGGGGGAUGACGGUACCGGAAGAAUAAGCACCGGCUAACUACGUG